RNAcentral lists this ribosomal RNA (505 nucleotides) under Protaphorura armata. RNAcentral's name for it is "partial 28S ribosomal RNA". It matches the Rfam family "Eukaryotic large subunit ribosomal RNA", at positions 646 to 1100 of the family's 3401-position model. Lineage: Eukaryota; Metazoa; Arthropoda; Collembola; Poduromorpha; Onychiuridae. The record is from RNAcentral.
GACCCGUCUUGAAGCACGGACCAAGGAGUCUAACAUGUACGCGAGUCAUUGGGAAUGUUAAACCCAAAGGCAUAAUGAAAGUAAAGAUCCAUAUUGUGGAUUUGAGGAGAGAUCAUGGUUGUAUUUGUCAUUCCGAAAGGUUUGUAUGCAUAUGAUAUGCGCAUCUCCUGGACGUCUAUACUUCUGAAAGUUGGGCGUACCUAGAGCGUACACGUUGGGACCCGAAAGAUGGUGAACUAUGCCUGGUCAGGACGAAGCCAGGGGAAACCCUGGUGGAGGUUCGUAGCGAUUCUGACGUGCAAAUCGAUCGUCGGAACUGGGUAUAGGGGCGAAAGACUAAUCGAACCAUCUAGUAGCUGGUUCCCUCCGAAGUUUCCCUCAGGAUAGCUGGCGCUUAUACCAGUCUCAUCCGGUAAAGCGAAUGAUUAGAGGCCUUGGGGCCGAAACGACCUCAACCUAUUCUCAAACUUUAAAUGGGUGAGAAGUCAGGCUUGCUUGAUCGAAG